Molecule: long non-coding RNA, 244 nt
Filed under: Gallus gallus (chicken)
Lineage: Eukaryota; Metazoa; Chordata; Aves; Galliformes; Phasianidae
Source: RNAcentral
CCCGUCGUGGAAGAGCAGAUACUGCCGGCAGAACUUGAUGCUCUUGGCCUGCACCAGGUCCCGCUGCGACCACUCGGUGUACAGGCUGCAGUAUUUGCCCCCGUACUGCGUGGUGACGUCGGGGCCCAGGCAGGCGGUGCUGAUCCCCGGGUUCUGGCUCAGCUCCCGGUACAGCACCGCAGCCUCCUCCGCGCUGGGCAGCACCGGCGGCUCCAUGUCGCUGCGGCGGGCGGACACGGCGCCG